This 530-nucleotide long non-coding RNA is filed under the name Anas zonorhyncha (Eastern spot-billed duck). Its description in RNAcentral is "lncRNA (ENSAZOG00000004887.1)". Lineage: Eukaryota; Metazoa; Chordata; Aves; Anseriformes; Anatidae. The record is from RNAcentral.
GGGACACAAUAACUUGGGGACACGGGGCAAUCAGGAUUUGGGGACAUGGGGACAGCAGAAUUUGGGGACACGGGCACAGCACCACCCCCUGCUCCGUCCCCCCCAGGCCUCUCGGUGGCCCUCAGCCCGUCCCCGUCCCCGUCCCCGCUCGCCCCGCUGGCCCCAGGGGACCAUGAACGUGCUGGCCCCCGUCCGCAGGGACAGGAUCAUCGCCGACCUGCCACAGUGUUUUCGGAAGGAGGCCGCCCUGCACGCCCGCAACGCCUUCCACCCCAGCGUGGCCAGCGCCUGCCAGGAGCAGCGGACGGGCACCGUGGGGUUCAAGAUCUCCAAAAUCAUCGUGGUGGGGGACCUGUCGGUGGGGAAGACCUGCCUGAUCACCCGCUUCUGCAAGGACACCUUCGACAAGAACUACAAGGCGACCAUCGGGGUGGAUUUCGAGAUGGAGCGCUUCGAGGUGCUGGGGGUGCCCUUCAGCCUGCAGCUGUGAGUUGGUGCCAGCCCCCCGCCCCCCAAAAAGCACCCCCUGA